UUGUACCGCUCCGCGCCGCCGUUCGGCAGACGCGCCGCCAUAUUGGUUCGACGUUGCUGCCCGCUGCUCGUGUCUCCCGUGCGGUCGACGAGUUGGUGAGGCGGCAUUUUCGUGCUCUCGUGAGCAACCGACAUUGAAAACAUUUUCGCACACGCUCUUGCAGUGUAACAGUAUUCUUAUCGUUCACCCGUGGGUGGGUGAACAAGAUAAGAGAAUGACGGGUUGCUGCGUUCCGCUGUGCACCGGCUCAUGGAAAAAAGGACUGCGGACUUUUCGGUUUCCCCGAGACCCUGAGAGAAGAAAGAAGUGGGAGGCUCAAGUGAAGCGGGAGAAGUGGCAAGCGACUGACACAUCUAAGAUAUGCGAGCGUCACUUUGAGCCUGACCAGUACGAAAAUGCCAGACAAGACGGGCGGCGGCUGCUGAAGUCUACUGCAGUUCCGACUCUCUUUGAUUUUAGCCCGCAACCGAAAUGCAGGAAACCUCCUGUGAGGCGAAGAAGUUUAGCUGAUUCUGCAACUUCAGCUACCGAAUCAUUUCAGUCGACAGAUAUUGCCUCACCCGGACCUUCAUCUCCCAACAAUCAGGAGCUAGACACAGGUGAACUCUGCAAGAAGAGAAACAGGAGGAGCACUGUGACAUCCUGGAUGUUGACUCACUGUCAACAAGCGAAAUGCGGAAAGCUCUCCGGGACAUGCAGAAGAAAAACUCUCAGCUUAAGGAAAGUCUGUCUGUCGCUAAAAAGAAGAUGAGGACUGCUACGAGGCAAGCAGCCAAGCUGGAAACAAAGGUCACAAUGUUGACUGCCAACUUGAACUAUCUGAACGAAGACCAGAAGACAGCUCUAGAAAGGCAGGAUAGAACAUGUCGCACGUGGAGUGCCGACACAGUAAAAAAGGCACUGCAACUCAAGUUCGCCUGUGGAAGUACAGGUUAUGACCUCCUCAUAGAGCAAGGCUACCCCCUGCCAUCACGGCGCACACUAUGUAGAAGAUUGCAGCAUCUGUCUUUCAAGCCUGGCGUGCUGCAUGAAAUAUUGUCUGCAAUGCAAACAAAAAUAUCUUCAAUGAAAGAUAUUGAAAAAGAUUGCAUACUAUUUCUUGAUGAGAUGGAAAUCCGGAGUGGGAUAGAACUUGACCGUGGCAACGAUACUCUGCUUGGAAUGAUAACAUUGCCUUCAUCUGACCAGCCAGCAAAGCAUGCGCUUGUCUUUAUGGUGGGUGGCACAAAUACCCGUUGGAAACAAGUAAUUGCUUUUCAUUACACAGGUGCUUACGUCAGUGGAGAUGUGCUCAAGGACUUCGUAUUCCACCUUAUCAAGCUCUGCACAGACAUUGGCCUUCGUGUGCGGUGUGUCACUUCUGACAUGGGAAGCUCCAACCGCGCGAUGUGGAGGUCACUGAACUUAAACAGCUCUCGCAACGGUGUUACAGUGUCCAGUGUGCCGCAUCCCUUCAUAAGCAACGAGACACUACAUUUUAUGCCAGACCCUGCCCAUGUGCUGAAGAACGUGAGGGGACAUUUUGUUCGGAAAGAUCCGAUGCACCUGAGUAGCGAGAUAGUUUCACGGUUCAACUUACCGACAACUGAAAUAACAGUCGAACACGUUGAGGCUCUUUUGAACUUAGAUAGCGAUCAGCUACAAGUUGCACCUAAUUUAACCCAUGUGCAUGUGUCCACUGGGCACUUUACAAAAAUGAAAGUAGGAAUAGCUGUACAAUUAUUUAGAGAGUCGCCUGCAGCUAUUCGGUAUUAUGUCGAGCAGCGGCUACUACCACCUGAAGCUGAGACAACUGCGUGGUUCCUUGAACUGAUCUCAAAGUGGUACUCCCUGAUGACAGCUCGCCACCCAGUUGUGGCUCUUAGCUUCAUGAAUGAAGAGAAAUACAGGGAAGCAAUUUCAGUGCUAAACCUCACUGUUGAGGUCAUUAAUAGCCUAAGCAUUGGUGUGAAGAAGGUAUGGAAGCCAUGCCAGGCAGGUGUUGUUAUGUCGACGAAUGUUAUUUUGCAGCUGCACAUUUUUCUCCUGAAGGAAUGUGGAUACAAGUUUGUAUUAGCAGGACGGUUUGCACAGGACUGCCUGGAGAACUUAUUCUCUGUUAUAAGAAUGCUGAAACCAGUCCCGAGUCCAUAUGACGUGAAAAAUGCCAUAAAGAUUCUUUCCGUGAGCCAGUUCUUGAAAGUGCCAAAAUCCACCAGUUAUGACAUUGAUGACAGUGAGUACCUCGUAGACAUUUUUUCUGCGGAAAUUAGGCACGUACAGCAAGAAGUCCCAGUUGACGUAAAUGAUUUUGAUUUUGAAGAUCUUGAGCCUCUUUCUCAUAUUGAAAGCAACAUUGUGGCCCAUCUAGCAGGGUUUCUGGUGAGGCCACUGCUGUCAUCUGUAACUUCUUGUGCUGUGUGCACAAAUGCGCUUACUGCAGAAGAAGUAGGAGAGGAACAUGCUCUUGUACAAAUGAAGGAAUAUGUGAGUGGUGGAAGGAACCUUACUUACGUUAGUCGAGGAGUACUGAGCCUCGUUGAAAGCUGGGAGAGUGCCUUCAAAAAGUUUUCUGAGGAAAGUGACAUAUGCCGAUUGAAAAGCCCCAUGAAAACUUUGAGGCGCAUCCUGGAAGAAUGUGUACCUCCUUUUUCGGUGCACUGCAGUGACCACCCCACUCUGAACAAAAGACUACUUGAGCGCUUUGUAACGCUGAGGCUACGCAUCUAUUUGCGUUGGCUGAUGCAGCCUGAUGAUUCAUGUGACGGAUAUGGCAGCAAGACAGUCGCUGGUGCUAACCUUGAAUAAAAUUUAUGUUGCAAAGUCUAUAUACAUUUUCGCAAGCUACCUGUUUUCUGUAAACCUCACUGAGUGCAUGAAACGACCGCUGUCAUUAAAAACACAUUUAAACCUCCGCAUU
Dermacentor albipictus is the source of this 2899-nucleotide long non-coding RNA. RefSeq lists it as uncharacterized. The record is from RefSeq and is a predicted model, not a curated record. Lineage: Eukaryota; Metazoa; Arthropoda; Arachnida; Ixodida; Ixodidae.